This 322-nucleotide ribosomal RNA is filed under the name uncultured eukaryote. RNAcentral describes it as "partial 18S ribosomal RNA". It matches the Rfam family "Eukaryotic small subunit ribosomal RNA", at positions 1470 to 1796 of the family's 1831-position model. The record is from RNAcentral.
CCCUUAGAUGUGCUGGGCCGCACGCGUGCUACACUGAGUGGAUCAGCGGGUCAGGUUGCGCGAAAGCGUUUCCUAAUCUUUAAAUCCGCUCGUGAUGGGGAUUGACGGUUGCAAUUUUCUGUCAUGAACGAGGAAUACCUUGUAAGCGCGGGUCAUCAUCCCGCGCUGAAUACGUCCCUGCCCUUUGUACACACCGCCCGUCGCUCCUACCGAUUGAGUGGUCCGGUGAGGCUUUGGGAUCUGAGCGGAAAGAGCGUUUCGCUGUUUCUGCUCGGAAAACUCAGUCGAACCUUAUCAUUUAGAGGAAGGAGAAGUCGUAACA